RNAcentral lists this ribosomal RNA (313 nucleotides) under uncultured bacterium. RNAcentral describes it as "bacterial SSU rRNA". It matches the Rfam family "Bacterial small subunit ribosomal RNA", at positions 32 to 334 of the family's 1533-position model. The record is from RNAcentral.
GACGUAACGCUGGCGGCGUGCUUAACACAUGCAAGUCGAACGAUGAAGCUGAAGCUUUUGUUUUGGUGGAUUAGUGGCGAACGGGUGAGUAAUACGUGAGUAACCUGCCCUUGUCUUUGGGAUAAGCCUGGGAAACUGGGUCUAAUACCGGAUAUUCUGCUUCUGCCGCAUGGUGGGGGUUGGAAAGAUUUUUUUGGAUGGGGAUGGGCUCACGGCCUAUCAGCUUGUUGGUGGGGUGAUGGCCUACCAAGGCGUCGACGGGUAGCCGGCCUGAGAGGGUGACCGGCCACAUUGGGACUGAGAUACGGCCCAG